Molecule: ribosomal RNA, 253 nt
Filed under: uncultured bacterium
Lineage: Bacteria
Description: partial 16S ribosomal RNA
Rfam family: Bacterial small subunit ribosomal RNA
Source: RNAcentral
UACGUAGGGUGCAAGCGUUGUCCGGAAUUAUUGGGCGUAAAGAGCUCGUAGGCGGUUUGUCGCGUCUGCCGUGAAAGCCCGGGGCUUAACUCCGGGUCUGCGGUGGAUACGGGCAGACUAGAGGCAGGUAGGGGAGAACGGAAUUCCCGGUGUAGCGGUGAAAUGCGCAGAUAUCGGGAGGAACACCGGUGGCGAAGGCGGCUCACUGGCUCGUAACUGACGCUCAUGCACGACAGCGUGGGGAUCAAACAGG